GGAGAGAUGUCAGAGCGGUUUAUUUUGCUCGCUUGGAAAGCGGGUGUACGGCAACGUACCAUGGGUUCAAAUCCCAUUCUCUCCACCA
Molecule: transfer RNA, 88 nt
Filed under: uncultured Candidatus Thioglobus sp.
Lineage: Bacteria; Pseudomonadati; Pseudomonadota; Gammaproteobacteria; Pseudothioglobaceae (SeqCode)
Description: uncultured SUP05 cluster bacterium tRNA-Ser-GGA
Rfam family: tRNA
About the family: Transfer RNA (tRNA) molecules are approximately 80 nucleotides in length.
Source: RNAcentral